GACGAACGCUGGCGGCGUGCCUAAUACAUGCAAGUAGAACGCUGAAGGAGGAGCUUGCUUCUCUGGAUGAGUUGCGAACGGGUGAGUAACGCGUAGGUAACCUGCCUGGUAGUGGGGGAUAACUAUUGGAAACGAUAGCUAAUACCGCAUAAUAGCAGUUGUUGCAUGAUAACUGUUUGAAAGGUGCAAUUGCACCGCUACCAGAUGGACCUGCGUUGUAUUAGCUAGUUGGUGGGGUAACGGCUCACCAAGGCGACGAUACAUAGCCGACCUGAGAGGGGGAUCGGCCACACUGGGACUGAGACACGGCCCAGACUCCUACGGGAGGCAGCAGUAGGGAAUCUUCGGCAAUGGACGGAAGUCUGACCGAGCAACGCCGCGUGAGUGAAGAAGGUUGUCGGAUCGUAAAGCUCUGUUGUAAGAGAAGAACGAGUGUGAGAGUGGAAAGUUCACACUGUGACGGUAUCUUACCAGAAAGGGACGGCUAACUACGUG
Molecule: ribosomal RNA, 495 nt
Filed under: uncultured bacterium
Lineage: Bacteria
Description: partial 16S ribosomal RNA
Rfam family: Bacterial small subunit ribosomal RNA
Source: RNAcentral